GAAUCCUAGGUCACAAUGGAAUGAGAAGGCUUGGAACUAGACUGAUUGGCAGUAAUGCGAAAACAGAAGAAAAAAGAGAAUAGGGAGAAUGCGGAUUUGGUGGUACUUGAAUUGAUACUCAUCAUGCGAAUUGGAGAGCAUGCCCCUAAGGGUACUCUUUUAUUAGAAGUGAUUUAAAGAUGUCAACAUCUAUUUUUGAUUCAACAGCGGAAAAACAUCAAACAAUUCAUGCUUACUACAGGUUCUAUUUGGCUUGUCGAAAUACCGAUUAAUCAUC
Molecule: unclassified non-coding RNA, 277 nt
Filed under: Hevea brasiliensis (rubber tree)
Lineage: Eukaryota; Viridiplantae; Streptophyta; Magnoliopsida; Malpighiales; Euphorbiaceae
Source: RNAcentral